This 253-nucleotide ribosomal RNA is filed under the name uncultured bacterium. Its description in RNAcentral is "partial 16S ribosomal RNA". It matches the Rfam family "Bacterial small subunit ribosomal RNA", at positions 524 to 776 of the family's 1533-position model. The record is from RNAcentral.
UACGUAGGGUGCAAGCGUUAAUCGGAAUUACUGGGCGCAAAGCGUGCGCAGGCGGCUUUGCAAGACAGAUGUGAAAUCCCCGGGCUUAACCUGGGAACUGCAUUUGUGACUGCAUGGCUGGAGUGCGGCAGAGGGGGAUGGAAUUCCGCGUGUAGCAGUGAAAUGCGUAGAUAUCGUCAGGAACGCCGAUGGUGAAGACAGGUGACUGGGCUAGUUCUGACACUGAGGCACGAAAGCGUGGGGAGCGAACGGG